CAGUUGGAAACGACUGCUAAUACCGCAUAAUGUCUACGGACCCAAAGGGGGCUUCGGCUCUCGCCUUUAGAUUGGCCCAAGUGGGAUUAGCUAGUUGGUGAGGUAAUGGCUCACCAAGGCGACGAUCCCUAGCUGGUUUGAGAGGAUGAUCAGCCACACUGGGACUGAGACACGGCCCAGACUCCUACGGGUAGGCAGCAGUGGGGAAUAUUGCACAAUGGGCGCAAGCCUGAUGCAGCCAUGCCGCGUGUGUGAAGAAGGCCUUCGGGUUGUAAAGCACUUUCAGUCAGGAGGAAAGGUUAGUAGUUUAAUACCUGCUAGCUGUGACGUUACUGACAGAAGAAGCACCGGCUAACUCCGUGCCAGCAGCCGCGGUAA
This 378-nucleotide ribosomal RNA is filed under the name uncultured bacterium. Its description in RNAcentral is "bacterial SSU rRNA". It matches the Rfam family "Bacterial small subunit ribosomal RNA", at positions 147 to 523 of the family's 1533-position model. The record is from RNAcentral.